UGCAGUCGAACGCCGACGCACCUUCGGGUGUUUAGGAGUGGCAGACGGGUGAGUAACGCGUGGGAACCUACCUUUAGGUACGGAAUAACGCAGGGAAACUUGUGCUAAUACCGUAUGAUCCCUUCGGGGCAAAGAUUUAUCGCCUAAAGAUGGGCCCGCGUUAGAUUAGCUAGUUGGUGAGGUAAUGGCUCACCAAGGCGACGAUCUAUAGCUGGUUUGAGAGGAUGAUCAGCCACACUGGAACUGAGACACGGUCCAGACUCCUACGGGAGGCAGCAGUGGGGAAUCUUGCACAAUGGGCGAAAGCCUGAUGCAGCCAUGCCGCGUGAGUGAAGAAGGCCUUAGGGUUGUAAAGCUCUUUCGCUAGGGAUGAUAAUGACAGUACCUAGUAAAGAAGUUCCGGCUAACUCCGUGCCAGCAGCCGCGGUAAUACGGAGGGAACUAGCGUUGUUCGGAAUUACUGGGCGUAAAGCGCGCGUAGGCGGACCAAUCAGUCAGAGGUGAAAUCCCGGGGCUUAACCUCGGAACUGCCUUUGAUACUGUUGGUCUAGAGUUCGAGAGAGGUAAGUGGAAUUCCCAGUGUAGAGGUGAAAUUCGUAGAUAUUGGGAAGAACACCAGUGGCGA
This 625-nucleotide ribosomal RNA is filed under the name uncultured bacterium. Its description in RNAcentral is "bacterial SSU rRNA". It matches the Rfam family "Bacterial small subunit ribosomal RNA", at positions 56 to 718 of the family's 1533-position model. The record is from RNAcentral.